This 2113-nucleotide ribosomal RNA is filed under the name marine metagenome. Its description in RNAcentral is "bacterial LSU rRNA". It matches the Rfam family "Bacterial large subunit ribosomal RNA", at positions 3 to 1989 of the family's 2925-position model. The record is from RNAcentral.
CCAAGCUACAAAGAGCCAACGGUGGAUGCCUUGGCGCCAAUGACCGAUGAAGGACGUGGGUGACUGCGAAAUGCUACGAGGAGCCGUCUACCAGGCUUUGAUCCGUAGAUAUCCGAAUGAGGAAACUCGGCACCCGUAAUGGGGUGUCACUCUGGAGUGAAUACAUAGCUCCAGUGGAGGGAACCGGGGGAAUUGAAACAUCUCAGUACCCCGAGGAAAGUAAAGCAAACGCGACUCCCUUAGUAGCGGCGAGCGAAAAGGGAAGAGACCAAACCGUGUCGGUGUAAUAUCCUGAUGGAGUUGCCGACGCGGGGUUGUGGGACGUUUAGACACCGCAUCAGAGGUGUCACGAAGUUAACAAGUUGCUGCGUAGUGGAACAGUUUCGGAAAAGCUGGCCAUAGUGGGUAAAAGCCCCGUACGCGAAACGCACGCAACCUUCGAAACCAAUCCCAAGUAAUGCCGGGACCGAGCAAACUGGCAUGAAUCUGUGGGGACCACCCCAUAAGUCUAAGUAUUUAUUGGCGACCGAUAGUGAACCAGUACCGUGAGGGAAAGGUGAAAAGAACCCCGGGAGGGGAGUGAAAUAGUACCUGAAACCGUUGGUUUACAAACAGUCAGAGUGUCGUCAUGAUUUAUCAUGGCCACGAUGGCGUGCCUUUUGAAGAAUGAGCCUGCGAGUUAUGGUAUGUGGCAAGGUUAACCAGAGAUGGGAAGCCGGAGCGAAAGCGAGUCUGAAUAGGGCGUGUAGUCGCAUGCUAUAGACCCGAAGCGAAGUGAUCUAUCCAUGGGCAGGUUGAAGCGGGGGUAAGACCCCGUGGAGGACCGAACCCACGUCAGUUGAAAAUGGCGGGGAUGACCUGUGGAUAGGGGUGAAAGGCCAAUCAAACUUCGCGAUAGCUGGUUCUCCUCGAAAUGCAUUUAGGUGCAGCGUCGUGCGUUCAGUACCGGAGGUAGAGCACUGGAUGGGCUAGGGGUCCUACAAGAUUACCGAACCCAGCCAAACUCCGAAUGCCGGUACUCCAGAGCACGGCAGUGAGACCACGGGGGAUGAGCUUCGUUGGUCGAAAGGGAAACAGCCCAGAUCGUCAGCUAAGGCCCCUAAUUCUGUACUAAGUGGAAAACGAUGUGAAAUUGCAUAGACAGCCAGGAGGUUGGCUCAGAAGCAGCCACCCUUAAAAGAGUGCGUAACAGCUCACUGGUCGAGUGAUUUUGCGCGGACAAUUCAACGGGGCUCAAGUACAGAGCCGAAGCUACGGGAUUCAUCGCAAGAUGGAUCGGUAGAGGAGCGUUGAUGGUGCAUUGAAGCGGCGGGAUGACCCGACGUGGAGUUCCAUCAAGUGAGAAUGCAGGCAUGAGUAGCGAGAGAGGGGUGAGAAACCCCUCCGCCGUAAAUCCAAGGUUUCCUGGGGAAGGCUAAUCCUCCCAGGGUAAGUCGGGAGCUAAGGUGAGGCCGAAAGGCGUAAUCGAUGCACAACUGGUUGAUAUUCCAGUACCACCGUGUUCGCGUCAAGUCCAAUAUUGGUGACGUGGGGGCUGCCUUCGGGCGAACCCACCUAGCUGGUGGCGGAUAACUAAUGGAGGACGCAGAAGGGUAGGUUAACCGGGGCAAUGGUAGUCCCCGGGUAAGCGAGUAGGGCGAUUCGAUGAAAGUUGAGUCAUAAAGCCUGAGACGUGAUGCCGAGUCGUUUAGACGAAGUAACUGAUCCCACACUGCCAAGAAAAGUCCAGUAGUGAGUUAACACGGUGCCCGUACCCCAAACCGACACAGGUGGAUGAGUAGAGAAUACUAAGGCGAUCGGGAGAACUAUGGUUAAGGAACUCGGCAAAUUACAUCCGUAACUUCGGGAGAAGGAUGACCCAUUUUGGUGGAGAACUAUACGUUCCGAGCUGAAGUGGGUGGCACAGACCAGGGGGUAGCGACUGUUUACCAAAAACACAGCAGCGUGCGAAGCCGCAAGGCGCUGUAUACGCUGUGACGCCUGCCCAAUGCUGGAAGGUCACGGGGAACGGUUAGUCGUAAGACGAAGCUGUGAACCUAAGCCCCAGUGAAUGGCGGCCGUAACUAUAACGGUCCUAAGGUAGCGAAAUUCCUUGUCGGGUAAGUUCCGACCU